AAAAAGGCAUAGCAUUCUAGUUAGUGAGAUUGUAAGUCUCCCUUCUUUCAUGGUAUUGUGUGGAAACUUGGCCUUUUUCCCUUCCUUUGGAAGAUGUCUUGGUUCAAGGAUCCAUGCUUGUGAUAAGUGGGUUGAGUGUUAUCCAAAGAAUGACUUCAAAUAAAAAAAAAAACAAAAGCAAAACAAUACUAACCUCUAACUCAUUAACAACUAACAUUUAAUUUCAAGUCCUUUAUUUUAAUGCACUUUAAUUUUUU
This 257-nucleotide long non-coding RNA is filed under the name Lathyrus oleraceus (garden pea). RNAcentral describes it as "Pisum sativum (pea) long non-coding RNA (PSAT_LNC034052)". The record is from RNAcentral. Lineage: Eukaryota; Viridiplantae; Streptophyta; Magnoliopsida; Fabales; Fabaceae.